RNAcentral lists this ribosomal RNA (196 nucleotides) under uncultured bacterium. Its description in RNAcentral is "partial 16S ribosomal RNA". It matches the Rfam family "Bacterial small subunit ribosomal RNA", at positions 338 to 526 of the family's 1533-position model. The record is from RNAcentral.
CCUACGGGAGGCAGCAGUGGGGAAUAUUGGACAAUGGGCGCAAGCCUGAUCCAGCCAUGCCGCGUGUGUGAAGAAGGCCUUCGGGUUGUAAAGCACUUUCAGCGAGGAGGAAGGGGUUGUUGUUAAUAGUAACAAUCUUUGACGUUACUCGCAGAAGAAGCACCGGCUAACUCCGUGCCAGCAGCCGCGGUAAUAA